GAAGAAAAACGCGGAUAAGGAGAGAAGGUGAGGUGAGGUGAAGUGGGUUGUCAUUAUCCUUCCAAAGGAAUCUCCCUCACACACCUUUCUUUCUACUCCUCUUCUUUAUUUUACUCUCUUUCUUAUAAUUCCAAAAUCCAUUGACUCCGUCGACACCGCCGAACAUGUCCGGCCGUGCUUCCUUCACCUGACUUCUCCCCACGUGGCACUCCUAACUCAGUCCGAGGUCCGUGCAGGUCCUAAUUAUUUAAUGUCAAUUGUGUUUGUGUAAUGUAGUAAUUUUUUAUUUGCCGAAUUAAAAUGUCAAAUUGUUUAAUUUUAAAAUUGACCACGUAGGAAUUUAGUUAGUUGGGAAAUGAAAGACGGCCUGCUUGCUUGAUUAAGACCCUUACUAGUAUAUUUGUGAUUGUGGGGGUGCAUGGUUGGAGCUGUACAGAAAGAGACUGCUGCUAUUUCUUCACCUCCUUCCUUCGUUUGUUGCUGAUCUUUAUCUUUCUUCAUCUUCUUUCUUUCUUUUUGCCUUCCCUAGAUAGCUAAUUCCAUGAGAGAUGGGGAACUGUCAAGCCAUAGAUGCUGCAGCCUUGGUCAUACAGCAUCCCUGUGGCAAGAUAGAGAGGCUUUAUUGGCCAAUUUCAGCUAGUGAGAUCAUGAGAUUGAAUCCUGGUCACUAUGUUUCUUUGAUUAUUCCAUUGCCUCUAUCUGGGGAUCAAGAUAAAGAUAAUAGCCAUCAGAAGAAGACUACUGUUCAGUUCACUCGUGUCAAGCUUCUUAGGCCUACUGAUACUCUUGCACUUGGCCAUGCUUAUCGUCUUGUUACUACUCAAGAAGUUAUGAAGGUGUUGAGGGCAAAGAAGCAUGCGAAAAUGAGGAGGCAGCAGCAGCAGCAGCAGCGGCCGGAAUCAGUUGAGAAGCCUCAGAUGGCAUCAGAGAAGAAGAGUUUGGAUUGUGAAGCAGAAAACAGACCUGCUGACACUGAGAAGGAUAAGGAGAAAGAUCAUCAGGUAUAUAUACAUAUAUCUCUCACUAGACCUCUUAUCAUUCUAAGCUUUUUCUUUAUUUCUUUUUUCGAUCAAUUUCAUAUUUAUGUUAUUUCAAUAACUACCAUAUUAUUGGAACUGGUUUAAUUAUGUCUCAAACAAAUUGCUGCUUGAAGAACUAUUACUUUCUUUCUUCAAUUUCGUAAUCAAGCAGACAUCGGCUGGUGGCGUUGAAGGAACUCUAAGAUAAUAGAAAUAGCUUUGUCAACCAUACAAAGAUUAUCCUUUAAUAUGAAGAGGGUCCAUGAUCAUAGUAGAUGAUGAUGGAGAAUUUUCAACCAUAAGAAUAUUAUUAUUCAUUUUUAAGUAUUUUCAUUAUUAUUAAUGAGCCAUUGACCUUCUGAUAAAGUUGCAAAAACUUCAGGCGAUUAAAAGUGAAAGACGCCGACCAAGGGCGUCAUCAAUCACCUCCACUGCACUCAGGUCAAAGUCCUGGCGCCCCACAUUACAGAGCAUCUCUGAGGCUGCGAGCUGAGCUGACGGUGUUAGUCAUAUAUGGCACAUGAAAAAUGCAGGAGAUUGAUUGCUUCCAACAUUUCUGGAGGUUAGUCAUAUGUGGAAUACUCCUUGUACACAGCAAAAUAGAUUUAUUCAUCAAUCGAUCAAAGGAGAAGUGUUAUUAGAUGUCAAAAGCAUUGUCAAUCAAAGCUACCAGUUUUAAGCCGUUUUCAAGUAAUAAGAAAUCUGUAUAGCUACAAAAAUAGCAAUGGAUCUACCAUUGGGUAACAAGUAAUAUUUUCUAGCCUUCAUAUUCUGCAAGCUUAUGAUCGAUCAAGAAUAAGAAUAGCAUAACAU
Molecule: unclassified non-coding RNA, 1832 nt
Filed under: Hevea brasiliensis (rubber tree)
Lineage: Eukaryota; Viridiplantae; Streptophyta; Magnoliopsida; Malpighiales; Euphorbiaceae
Source: RNAcentral